AUCCAGUUGAUCAGUCCCAAAUAGGACGAGACGCGCUUCAAACUGUAU
RNAcentral lists this non-coding RNA (48 nucleotides) under Schistosoma bovis. The record is from RNAcentral. RNAcentral also lists the same sequence under 1 other name. Lineage: Eukaryota; Metazoa; Platyhelminthes; Trematoda; Strigeidida; Schistosomatidae.